This 76-nucleotide transfer RNA is filed under the name Clostridium sp. RNAcentral's name for it is "tRNA-Glu". It matches the Rfam family "tRNA". From Rfam's summary of the family: Transfer RNA (tRNA) molecules are approximately 80 nucleotides in length. Their secondary structure includes four short double-helical elements and three loops (D, anti-codon, and T loops). RNAcentral also lists the same sequence under 13 other names. Lineage: Bacteria; Bacillati; Bacillota; Clostridia; Eubacteriales; Clostridiaceae. The record is from RNAcentral.
GCUCGGUUCGUCUAGUGGCCUAGGACACCGCCCUCUCACGGCGGGAACAGGGGUUCGACUCCCCUACCGGGUACCA